Molecule: unclassified non-coding RNA, 235 nt
Filed under: Hevea brasiliensis (rubber tree)
Lineage: Eukaryota; Viridiplantae; Streptophyta; Magnoliopsida; Malpighiales; Euphorbiaceae
Source: RNAcentral
UUCAUACUGAGAAUCAUAAUCCACCUCAAGCCUACUUGCUUUCACACAAGCAUGAACAUCAUGAGAAAAAUCAGAAUUAUAACCAUUGUCAGAAGGUUCUUCAACAGCCAUCUUAUCAAAACUAUUUACAAUAUCCUUAGAGUUGUUCCAGUAUGCAUCAGAAUGAGAAUGUAACAAUGCUUUAGACAUUUCUGAAGACUUUGUCACGAGUUUCUCAUUUUCCUUAUGCAUUAAA